Molecule: ribosomal RNA, 342 nt
Filed under: Triticum aestivum (bread wheat)
Lineage: Eukaryota; Viridiplantae; Streptophyta; Magnoliopsida; Poales; Poaceae
Description: partial small subunit ribosomal RNA
Source: RNAcentral
AUGGCAACAAACCGCUCAGGAGAUGGGUGCUUAUUGACUCGGCAAGGAGGAAGAAGGUGUAUCCCUAUGAAAUUCAAUAUGAACAAAUUCCAUACUUCUGUUUUUCUUGUGGACGGCUGGGCCAUUCGGAUCUUUACUUCUGUAACACAGGCACUUGAGAUGAGAAGGGAGAGCUUCCAUUUGGGCCGACAUUGCGAGCUCCUGAUGAUAACAGGUACCCAGCAGGCAGCGAAAAUUCAUCCAGGGGACAGAAAUCUGACCAGAGCGGCAAGCAAGAGACAAGGAACUCCAGAAAAAAAACCAAGCAAGAUGGGGGGGGGGAAGAGGUGGUCUCGCCUUUAA